GCCUGGGUGGCUCAGUCGGUUAAGUGUCUGACUUCCACUCAGGUCAUGACUUCGGAUCAGGGUUGUGAGUUCGAGCCCCGCAUCAGGCU
This 89-nucleotide transfer RNA is filed under the name Felis catus (domestic cat). It matches the Rfam family "tRNA". From Rfam's summary of the family: Transfer RNA (tRNA) molecules are approximately 80 nucleotides in length. Their secondary structure includes four short double-helical elements and three loops (D, anti-codon, and T loops). The record is from Rfam by way of RNAcentral. Lineage: Eukaryota; Metazoa; Chordata; Mammalia; Carnivora; Felidae.